UACGGGAGGAACAGGUGUUACUCGUCUUGACUGGGCGUAAAGGAUGCGUAGGCGGUUAUUUGAGUUUAAAGUAAAAUUUUAAGUUUUAAAAAUAACUUUUAAUACUAAAUAUCUUUGAGUUUAGAAGAAGAAAAAAGUACUCAUAAUGUAGAGGUGAAAUUCGGUGAUAUUAAGGGGACUCACGAAAGCGAAAGCAUUUUUCUAUUUUAAAACUGACGCUGAGGCAUUACAGCAUGGGGAGCAAACAGG
This 249-nucleotide ribosomal RNA is filed under the name uncultured bacterium. RNAcentral describes it as "partial 16S ribosomal RNA". It matches the Rfam family "Bacterial small subunit ribosomal RNA", at positions 524 to 776 of the family's 1533-position model. The record is from RNAcentral.